GCUGGGCAUGGUGGCGUGCACCUGUAAUCCCAGCUACUCGGGAGGCUGAGGCAGGAGAAUUGCUUGAGCCCAGGAGGCGGAGGUUGCAGUGAGCCGAGAUCGUGCCACUGCACUCCAGCCUGGGCAACAGAGUGAGACUCUGUCUCCA
This 148-nucleotide non-coding RNA is filed under the name Pan paniscus (pygmy chimpanzee). The record is from Rfam by way of RNAcentral. RNAcentral also lists the same sequence under 1 other name. Lineage: Eukaryota; Metazoa; Chordata; Mammalia; Primates; Hominidae.